CCGCACGCUGGCGGCGUGCUUCACCCCUGCAAGUCGAACGGAAAGGCCCUGCUUUUGUGGGGUGCUCGAGUGGCGAACGGGUGAGUAACACGUGAGUAACCUGCCCUUGACUUUGGGAUAACUUCAGGAAACUGGGGCUAAUACCGGAUAGGAGCUCCUGCUGCAUGGUGGGGGUUGGAAAGUUUCGGCGGUUGGGGAUGGACUCGCGGCUUAUCAGCUUGUUGGUGGGGUAGUGGCUUACCAAGGCUUUGACGGGUAGCCGGCCUGAGAGGGUGACCGGCCACAUUGGGACUGAGAUACGGCCCAGACUCCUACGGGAGGCAGCAGUGGGGAAUAUUGCACAAUGGGCGGAAGCCUGAUGCAGCAACGCCGCGUGCGGGAUGACGGCCUUCGGGUUGUAAACCGCUUUCGCCUGUGACGAAGCGUGAGUGACGGUAAUGGGUAAAGAAGCACCGGCUAACUACGUG
RNAcentral lists this ribosomal RNA (467 nucleotides) under uncultured bacterium. RNAcentral describes it as "partial 16S ribosomal RNA". It matches the Rfam family "Bacterial small subunit ribosomal RNA", at positions 30 to 507 of the family's 1533-position model. The record is from RNAcentral.